GAGGCGAUGAAGGACGUGCUAAUCUGCGAAAAGCGUCGGUAAGGUGAUAUGAACCGUUAUAACCGGCGAUGUCCGAAUGGGGAAACCCAGUGUGAUUCGUCACACUAUCGUUAACUGAAUACAUAGGUUAACGAGGCGAACCUGUGGAACUGAAACAUCUAAGUACCCCGAGGAAAAGAAAUCAACCGAGAUUCCCCCAGUAGCGGCGAGCGAACGGGGAGCAGCCCAGAGUCUGAAUCAGCUUGUGUGUUAGUGGAACGGUCUGGAAAGUCCGACGGUACAGGGUGAUAGUCCCGUACACCAAAAUGCACAGGUUGUGAACUCGAAGAGUAGGGCGGGACACGUGGUAUCCUGUCUGAAUAUGGGGGGACCAUCCUCCAAGGCUAAAUACUCCUGAUUGACCGAUAGUGAACCAGUACCGUGAGGGAAAGGCGAAAAGAACCCCGGCGAGGGGAGUG
This 458-nucleotide ribosomal RNA is filed under the name Pseudomonas aeruginosa. RNAcentral's name for it is "partial 23S ribosomal RNA". It matches the Rfam family "Bacterial large subunit ribosomal RNA", at positions 43 to 540 of the family's 2925-position model. The record is from RNAcentral. Lineage: Bacteria; Pseudomonadati; Pseudomonadota; Gammaproteobacteria; Pseudomonadales; Pseudomonadaceae.